AUUGAACGCUGGCGGAAUGCUUUACACAUGCAAGUCGAACGGCAGCACGGGGCAACCUGGUGGCGAGUGGCGAACGGGUGAGUAAUACAUCGGAACGUGCCCAAUCGUGGGGGAUAACGUAGCGAAAGUUACGCUAAUACCGCAUACGAUCUACGGAUGAAAGCGGGGGAUCGCAAGACCUCGCGCGAAUGGAGCGGCCGAUGUCAGAUUAGGUAGUUGGUGGGGUAAAGGCUCACCAAGCCGACGAUCUGUAGCUGGUCUGAGAGGACGACCAGCCACACUGGGACUGAGACACGGCCCAGACUCCUACGGGAGGCAGCAGUGGGGAAUUUUGGACAAUGGGCGCAAGCCUGAUCCAGCCAUUCCGCGUGCAGGAUGAAGGCCU
Molecule: ribosomal RNA, 385 nt
Filed under: uncultured bacterium
Lineage: Bacteria
Description: bacterial SSU rRNA
Rfam family: Bacterial small subunit ribosomal RNA
Source: RNAcentral